Long non-coding RNA from Mercenaria mercenaria, 984 nucleotides. RefSeq lists it as uncharacterized. NCBI's taxonomy places the organism in Eukaryota, Metazoa, Mollusca, Bivalvia, Venerida, Veneridae. The transcript has 3 exons. The record is from RefSeq and is a predicted model, not a curated record.
CAGGGUCAUACUAAUUGUAAAUAUGUCCGGUCAGGGUCUUACUCAUUGGAAUAUGUCCGACCCAGGGUCGUACUAAAGAUGGCUGCUGUAAUUGAGGGUCAUACUAAUUCGGAAUUGUCUUAAAGCUAAUUUGAAUACGUCCGACCUAGGGUCAUACUAAUUGGAAUAUGUUCGACCCAGGGUCGUACUUAUUUGAAUUGUCUUAAAGUUAGAUAGAUUUGUCUUAAUUCAGGGUCGUACUAAUUCGAUUUAGUAUCAUACAAAUUGAAAUUGUCAGACCCUGGGUCGUACUAAAUGAAAGAGUUCUAAGCUAAUUCUCAACCAGGGUCAUACUAAUUGGAAUAUGUCCGACCCUGGGUCAUACUAAAUCGAAUUGUCUUAAAGCUAAAUCGGCAUUUUUGACCCUCACGGGUCGUCAUACGUCACAGCCUGCUGCUUAUACAGAGGUUAGGGCUGAGCUGUGAUGCUAAUGACAGUGGAUAAUCCAUUCUGAGUUGUUCUAGGACCAUUCACCAACGUUUCAAAACACUGAUGGAACUGAAUGCAGUACAUGUACUGGUGUCUGGCCUGUGAUUUCAAGUAUAAUUGAUGUAUCUCCUCCUGAUGUAUCUCCUUAAAUACAAUAUAUCUGCCAUGUGAAAGGAAGAAACUGCAAGAUAUACUGUGGAAGUGGGGGCCUAUGUAAAAAACAUUUAAUUUAAAGAAUAUAAGGAGUCUGACACUAAACUAUACUGAAAAGGUGCACAGUGAACAUUUUUGUGUGUAUAGACUUUCAUCAUGAUUCUGAGAAAGUUGAUUUAUUAAACGAAAACUAUCAUAUAUUUUUGUCUUCAAAGCUGAAAAUAUUAAGAUCUUAGGAAAACAUUAGGACUGUAGAAAAGUAAAUGGGUUAUGAAACUGUAGUGUUCAACAUUUAAAUUGAAUGUGUUCUUUUACUACAUUUUGUGAAGAGGGUUCCAUCACAAGAUGUGCUAUAUCGGUAAG